AGUUGUUAUAGGAAAUAAAACUUGUAAGGUUGUACGGCAUCUGACCUCGUUUGUGUCUUAAUCUCGCUCUUGGGAUCGUUUAAGAACCCUCCCCGAUAUUGGAUUGGGACACUAAUCACACAUGAUGGCCAUUUGUUUAAC
Long non-coding RNA from Aquila chrysaetos chrysaetos, 141 nucleotides. RefSeq lists it as uncharacterized. The record is from RefSeq and is a predicted model, not a curated record. Lineage: Eukaryota; Metazoa; Chordata; Aves; Accipitriformes; Accipitridae. The transcript is spliced from 3 exons.